GAUGAACGCUAGCGGCAGGCCUAACACAUGCAAGUCGAGGGAUAGCAGGAUUAAGCUUGCUUAAUUGCUGACGACCGGCGCACGGGUGCGUAACGCGUAUGCAACCUACCUUAUACUGGGGUAUAGCCCGGAGAAAUUCGGAUUAAUCCCCCAUAGUACUAAUGAAUCGCAUGGUUUAUUAGUUAAAGCAUUGCGGUAUAAGAUGGGCAUGCGUCCUAUUAGCUAGAUGGUGAGGUAACGGCUCACCAUGGCUACGAUAGGUAGGGGGCCUGAGAGGGUGGUCCCCCACACUGGUACUGAGACACGGACCAGACUCCUACGGGAGGCAGCAGUGAGGAAUAUUGGUCAAUGGGCGCAAGCCUGAACCAGCCAUUCCGCGUGCAGGAUGAAGGCCCUCGGGUUGUAAACUGCUUUUGUACAGAACGAAAAGGUUUCUACUAAUACUAGGAACUCAUGACGGUACUGUAAGAAUAAGCACCGGCUAACUACGUGCCAGCCGCCGCCGUAA
This 508-nucleotide ribosomal RNA is filed under the name uncultured bacterium. Its description in RNAcentral is "partial 16S ribosomal RNA". It matches the Rfam family "Bacterial small subunit ribosomal RNA", at positions 28 to 523 of the family's 1533-position model. The record is from RNAcentral.